Molecule: ribosomal RNA, 167 nt
Filed under: Tricholomataceae sp.
Lineage: Eukaryota; Fungi; Basidiomycota; Agaricomycetes; Agaricales; Tricholomataceae
Description: partial large subunit ribosomal RNA
Rfam family: Eukaryotic large subunit ribosomal RNA
Source: RNAcentral
CGGGAAAAGCUCAAAUUUAAAAUCUGGCGGUUCUGCCGUCCGAGUUGUAAUUUAGAGAAGCGUUAUCCGCGCUAGACCGUACACAAGUCUCCUGGAAUGGAGCGUCAUAGAGGGUGAGAAUCCCGUCUUUGGUACGGACUGCUAGGGCAUUGUGAUACGCUCUCAAA